AUCUCCUUUGCGGGAGAGAGAGGCUGGUUGCCUCCGCCGAAGGCGCAAACUCCCAUAAUCGCUCAGGCAUUCAGAACCGCAAAGGCAGU
RNAcentral lists this non-coding RNA (89 nucleotides) under Acetobacteraceae bacterium AT-5844. RNAcentral's name for it is "Glycine riboswitch aptamer". It matches the Rfam family "Glycine riboswitch aptamer". From Rfam's summary of the family: This family represents the bacterial glycine riboswitch. Lineage: Bacteria; Pseudomonadati; Pseudomonadota; Alphaproteobacteria; Acetobacterales; Acetobacteraceae. RNAcentral also lists the same sequence under 1 other name. The record is from Rfam by way of RNAcentral.